AUGAGGCUGCUCGGCGCGGCGGACGACGGGAAGAUCAACGACGAGGGGAUGGCGCUGCGCAAGGCGGAGGAGGCCGCUGCGCGGAGGUGCGAGGCGGCGCGAUGGCUGCGGCAGAUGGCGCCGGCGGCGGUGGAGGCCCUGCCGGACAGGCCGUCCGAGGAGGACUUCUGCGCGGCCCUGCGCAACGGCCUCAUCCUCUGCAAGGUCCUCAACCGCGUCAACCCCGGCGCCAUCCCCAAGGUCGUUGAGAAUCCCGUUGACACGAUGCAGUGGUCUGAUGGGGCGGCGCAGUCCGCGAUCCAGUACUUCGAGAACAUGAGGAACUUCCUCGUUGCAGUUAGUGAGAUGAAUCUAUUGGAAUUUGAAGCUUCCGACAUUGAGAAGGGAGGUUCAUCAAUGAAAGUUGUGGACUGCAUACUCUGUCUCAAAGGAUACCACGAGUGGAAACUUUCAGGUGGAAUCGGUAUAUGGCGGUAUGGAGCUAUUGUUAAGAUUGCGCCUCCAAGCAAGAGGUUGCCUUCACAUUCUUCCAGGUUUGGAGGCUCAGCUGACCAGAACCAACAAAUGCUGGAAUUUGUUCAUCUUCUCUCCGAGGUCUCCCUUGAGGAAACCAGAGUUGAAGAAUCCCAGCAUUCACUUUUCCAGCAGUUUGUUCUUCGAGUUGUGCGGGCAUUCCUUCUGGAAUGGAGUGAAGCUGAUGACUUGCCUUUAGAUGAUAUGGUCCUUGAAACAAUACUUGAGCAAGCCUCUAAAGAAUUCACCAUUCUGCUUGUGUCCCACCGGAAUCAGGUCAGAUCCCUUUUGAGGAAGAUGAUGAAAGAUGACAGUGGUGUUUGCUCCAAAUUGGAGUUGAUUGAAGCUAUUUCAAAAUCUUUGCAAUUGCCCUGUGGUAGCCGCAAACGCUUGGGUGACGGGGAAGGACUUGAACACCAACAAGAAGAGCUGAAGAAGUUAAAACUGUCCUUCAAUGAGAUGAAGUCCGAAGUUGAAUCCACUCGAGCUAAAUGGGAGGAAGACUUGACGAGGCUAGAAAGCUAUUUUGAGGCUCAGAACCAUAAUGCUUACCACAAGUUACUGGAGGAAAAUCGUAAGCUGUACAAUCAAGUCCAAGAUCUUAGAGGUAGCAUUCGAGUCUACUGUAGAGUGAAACCUUUACCGAAGUACCAACCUGAUCAACGAUCUACUGUGGAUCAUAUUGGGGAAAACGGGGAGAUCAUGAUUACUAACCCUGAAAAGGAAGGAAAGGAUGGACGGAAGAUAUUCUCUUUCAACAAAAUAUUUGGACCUAAUGUUUCACAAUCUGAAGUUUAUGUUGAUACACAACCACUUAUAAGAUCAGUGAUGGAUGGCUAUAAUGUUUGUAUAUUUGCAUAUGGUCAAACAGGAUCGGGAAAAACCUACACUAUGAGUGGUCCAGACAAAACAGCAGAGGAGACCUUGGGCGUAAACUACCGAUCGCUAAAUGAUCUGUUUGAUAUUUCUCAAAACAGAUCAGAUACCACGACAUAUGAUGUGAGGGUUCAGAUGAUUGAAAUAUACAAUGAACAAGUGAGAGAUCUAUUGAUGGCUGAUGGUGCAAACAAACGAUUAGAGAUCCGUAACAACUCUCAUGUGAAUGGACUCAACAUCCCUGAUGCCAAUUUAGUGCCUGUGAAGUGCACAAAGGAUGUUUUGGACCUGAUGAAACUUGGUCACAGAAAUCGGGCUGUUGGAGCGACUGCUCUUAAUGAACGAAGUAGCCGCUCACACAGUGUGUUGACAGUUCAUGUGCAAGGGAAGGAGAUAAUUUCUGGUUCAACUUUAAGAGGAUGCCUUCACCUGGUGGAUCUCGCCGGAAGUGAGAGGGUGGACAAAUCUGAGGCCGCCGGAGAAAGACUGACUGAAGCCAAGCACAUCAACAAAUCACUAUCGGCACUUGGUGAUGUUAUAGCGGCACUAGCACAGAAAAGUUCACACGUCCCAUACCGCAACAGCAAGCUAACACAAGUGCUGCAGGACGCCUUAGGCGGCCAGGCGAAGACAUUGAUGUUUGUGCAUGUGAACCCUGAAGCGGAUUCUUUUGGUGAAACAAUUAGCACCCUCAAGUUCGCCGAGCGCGUGGCCACCGUAGAACUUGGCGCGGCCCGUGUUAACAAGGAAGGUGCACAGGUCAAAGACCUCAAGGAAGAGAUUGGUAAACUAAAAUCGGCAUUGGAAGAUAAGGAGCGUGAAGCAGCACAGCUGAGAGAUGCCACAAACCGUAUAACAUCAUCCGAGACAAGAAAUGCUGCAAGGGCGAGGUCACCUCUAAUUACCACCAGCUUGCGCUUCAAGCCUGAGGCUAGGCAGGAUUCCAGCGUCGACACUUGCACAAGCGAGAUCAGAAGCUCGUCGUCUGGGAAGCAGAGAAGGUUCCGGUCUCCACUAUCAGUGCGAGAGGUGGACGACAAGUCACCCGUCAUCAGCAGGGAGCUAUACUUCAGCUCGCGCAAGUUCAAGACCCCGUCACCUCCGGUGAGAAGCUCGUUCUCCGCCGAGAGAUCCGGCGGCACCGCGGCGAAAACUGUGGAGAAGGCCGACAGCAUCAUUGAGUGCACGCCUACGCCUACGCCGAGGAUUGAGCCGCCCGCGAAGGCAUCGCAAGGCAGCCGGUCCAGGAACAACACGCCGGCCUCCAUUCUGACGGAGCAGAGCCUGCGGAAAUUCCGGGACUCGGAGGAGAACCGGAGCGCGAAGCCGACGGUUAGAGAGAGCGUGAGCGUGACCAAGAACAGGCCUGACAGCGCGACCAAGGCGCGGAGGGAGGAGCAGCAGACGGCGAACGGCUGCGCGGACUCCGGGAGUAAGGUGGCGAGGUCGGAGGCCAGGGUGAGGAAGAACUGGUCCGAGGUGGAGAACGAGCUGGCCAACGGCGAGCCCACCUUCCAUCUCAGCCGGAAGUCGGCCAAGAAGCUCCCGCCGCCGGCGACCAGGCAGUCCCAGAGCAUCGAUCUCAGGGCGUCGGUCCGGGAGGCGGAGGCCGUGACGGAAGGGAAGCAUCGCCGGAACAGGCCGCCGUACGCGGAGAGGACCAACGUCCCCUUGCCGGAGACGCGCCGCAGCAUGUCCCUGCCGCGCGGGAAGCUCGCGCCCGUGUGA
This 3117-nucleotide ribosomal RNA is filed under the name Triticum aestivum (bread wheat). Its description in RNAcentral is "partial small subunit ribosomal RNA". Lineage: Eukaryota; Viridiplantae; Streptophyta; Magnoliopsida; Poales; Poaceae. The record is from RNAcentral.